GGCAGAAAAUUAUAAACAGCAAAUAAAGAGGAGGCAGAGUAAAGCUACCCCAUGUACGCCCCAGCCCAGACCCUGUGUCUGGUCUGUAUUGUGAAUGGGGGAACAUGG
RNAcentral lists this small nucleolar RNA (108 nucleotides) under Microcebus murinus (gray mouse lemur). RNAcentral describes it as "Small nucleolar RNA SNORA51 (ENSMICG00000019776.3)". It matches the Rfam family "Small nucleolar RNA SNORA51", at positions 22 to 133 of the family's 133-position model. Rfam says of the family: ACA51 is a member of the H/ACA class of snoRNA that guide the sites of modification of uridines to pseudouridines. The record is from RNAcentral. Lineage: Eukaryota; Metazoa; Chordata; Mammalia; Primates; Cheirogaleidae.